Long non-coding RNA from Trichechus manatus latirostris (Florida manatee), 1305 nucleotides. RefSeq lists it as uncharacterized. The transcript has 3 exons. NCBI's taxonomy places the organism in Eukaryota, Metazoa, Chordata, Mammalia, Sirenia, Trichechidae. The record is from RefSeq and is a predicted model, not a curated record.
AGGGCCUAAUACCCAGUGUCUUCCUGCGGCAAGUUUUCACUCCUUCCUGGGAGCUCUCACCGCCGUGCGCUCGGGUCACCAUAAGUGCACUUAAAUCCCGGCCACCGGCCCCAAGUCCUCAUCCUCCCCGCCAACUGUAUUGCUUUGGCAUCCUCUCAGAACUGGCAUGAUCAGAGAGGAUGAACACUUUUAUGGCUCUCAAUACAGUUCCAUGGCAGGAUUUAAAGGACUGGCCUCAUGAUGAUGUACUGAGUGAGCCUUGAUUGUUGCUUGUGGGAUUAUGCACUGAUUAACUCACAGGUCCCUGCAGUUGUCGUGUUGGGUAAGUUUGCUUCGCUUACUGAAAGCCUUGCCCUAUUCAAACAGAAAUUUGGAUCUAAUUGAAAAUUUGUCUUUUCCAGACUCGAAUAACCUUCAAUUUUCCAGUUGCCAUCGAGUGUACUCUGACUCAUGGUGACCCUAUGUGCAUCAGAGUAGAACUGUGCUCCACAGGGUUUUCAAUGGCUUAUUUUUCAGAAGUAGAUUGCCAGACCUUUCUUUCUAGGCACCUAUGGAUGCACUCUUCCAGCCUCGUGGUUAGCAGCCGAGUAUGUUAGUUGUUUGCAGUACCCAGGGCUGAUCCUAAAAUAGCUUCAGCUAUUUUUUACUAAAAACAUUUUUCUGGUUUUCCUCAAUGAUCUUUUUCCUGAAGUUUAUCUUGCAUCUCUCUCUAAAGUUUAGAAUCCCUUCACUGAAUCACCAUUAAUGAGAUCUUAGAGCUGCCUCAGCCAUUGCAUUUCUCAUUCCAAAGUUUUCACUUGUUUGAAGUGUUGAGAGUGCAUGAAAUCAUAGAAGUGAUAUGAAUCUAUGAUGUAGAUUCUGAAAAGAACUAGUUUUCACUAGAACACUUUCACUUCCACUGGAGAAUCUUACUAUCCUUAUUUUUUAUACAUAACUAAUCUUGUCUUGAAUGUUAUUGUGUUAAGAGGGCAAAAGUGUGUAGUUUUCAUGAUCAGAAUUAUCAUUUUUUAUGAAGACAUGCUCAUGAUAGUUUGUUACAAAGAAGGAUGCAAAAUUGGAUAUAGUAAGAUCCCAAUUUUGUAACAACUAAGAAUUAAAACAAAACAUAUAUACAUGCUUAAGAAACUAGCAGAAUAUCUAUAAAAUAUUAACACUGGUUAUCUCUGGAAAAUGGAAUUAUGAUAUGAAUAAAAUUUAUUUACUUCUUAAAUUUUUCCCCUCAAAUUUUUUUCCAUUUUUUUAAUUUUUGUAAUUAAAUGAAGUUUAUAUUUCAAGUUCAUCUCCCCUACAAAAAUUUUUUUUUUA